This 253-nucleotide ribosomal RNA is filed under the name uncultured bacterium. Its description in RNAcentral is "partial 16S ribosomal RNA". It matches the Rfam family "Bacterial small subunit ribosomal RNA", at positions 524 to 776 of the family's 1533-position model. The record is from RNAcentral.
UACGAAGGGUGCAAGCGUUGUUCGGAUUUAUUGGGCGUAAAGCGCGCGCAGGCGGACUUGUAAGUCAGGUGUGAAAUCUCGGGGCCUAACCCCGAAAGUGCGCCUGAAACUGUAGGUCUAGAAUAUCGGAGAGGUAAGGGGAAUUUCUCAUGUAGGGGUAAAAUCCGUAGAGAUGAGAAGGAACACCGGAGGCGAAGGCGCCUUACUGGACGAUGAUUGACGCUGAGGCGCGAAAGCGUGGGGAGCAAACAGG